UGACUUACCUGGCAGGGGAGAUACCAUGAUUAUGAAGGUGGUUUUCCCAGGGUGAGUCUUAUCCAUUGCACUCUGGAUGUGCACCCUGUGAUUUCCCCAAAUGUGGGAAAUUCGACUGCAUAAUUUGUAGGGCUGCAUUUGUGCUCUCCCUGA
Molecule: small nuclear RNA, 153 nt
Filed under: Microcebus murinus (gray mouse lemur)
Lineage: Eukaryota; Metazoa; Chordata; Mammalia; Primates; Cheirogaleidae
Description: U1 spliceosomal RNA (ENSMICG00000018460.3)
Rfam family: U1 spliceosomal RNA
About the family: U1 is a small nuclear RNA (snRNA) component of the spliceosome (involved in pre-mRNA splicing). Its 5' end forms complementary base pairs with the 5' splice junction, thus defining the 5' donor site of an intron. There are significant differences in sequence and secondary structure between metazoan and yeast U1 snRNAs, the latter being much longer (568 nucleotides as compared to 164 nucleotides in human).
Source: Rfam by way of RNAcentral